RNAcentral lists this ribosomal RNA (253 nucleotides) under uncultured bacterium. Its description in RNAcentral is "partial 16S ribosomal RNA". It matches the Rfam family "Bacterial small subunit ribosomal RNA", at positions 524 to 776 of the family's 1533-position model. The record is from RNAcentral.
GACAGAGGGGGCAAGCGUUGCUCGGAAUCACUGGGCGUAAAGGGCGCGUAGGCGGGAUGGCAAGUCGGUCGUGAAAUCCUUCGGCUCAACCGAAGAACGUCGGCCGAUACUGCCGUUCUUGAGGGAUGCAGAGGAGAUUGGAAUUCCCGGUGUAGCGGUGAAAUGUGUAGAGAUCGGGAGGAACACCGGUGGCGAAGGCGGCUAUCUGGACAGAGUCUGACGCUGAGGCGCGAAAGCUAGGGGAGCAAACAGG